UCUUCCAUGACAUGCUAUGGAUUGCUAUUACUUUAUUCCUAUCCCAUGAAGUAAUAUGGGUUUCUAUUACUCUAUAUAUUCCAUGACUUGAUAUGGAUUACUUUGCAUUUAUUUUCUUUUAUCUUUAUCUCCCAUUACAUGAUAUGGAUUGUUAUUGCUUUAUUCCUCUCCCAUUACGUAAUAUGGAUUGCUAUUACUCUAUUUCUUCCAUGACUUGAUAUGUAUUACUUUGCCUUUAUAUUCUUUUAUCUUUCUGUCCCAUGACAUGAUAUGG
RNAcentral lists this long non-coding RNA (274 nucleotides) under Lathyrus oleraceus (garden pea). Its description in RNAcentral is "Pisum sativum (pea) long non-coding RNA (PSAT_LNC027161)". Lineage: Eukaryota; Viridiplantae; Streptophyta; Magnoliopsida; Fabales; Fabaceae. The record is from RNAcentral.